Molecule: ribosomal RNA, 305 nt
Filed under: uncultured bacterium
Lineage: Bacteria
Description: bacterial SSU rRNA
Rfam family: Bacterial small subunit ribosomal RNA
Source: RNAcentral
UGACCCUACGGGAGGCAGCAGUGGGGGAUAUUGCACAAUGGAGGAAACUCUGAUGCAGCAACGCCGCGUGAAGGAAGAAGGCUUUCGGGUUGUAAACUUCUUUUCUGAGGGACGAAGAAAGUGACGGUACCUCAGGAAUAAGCCACGGCUAACUACGUGCCAGCAGCCGCGGUAAUACGUAGGUGGCAAGCGUUGUCCGGAUUUACUGGGUGUAAAGGGCGUGCAGCCGGGCUGACAAGUCAGAUGUGAAAUCCCGCGGCUCAACCGCGGAACUGCAUUUGAAACUGUCAGUCUUGAGUACCGGG